UUCUAGCAGAAGAAUUUCAUUGUCAUUGUGCGUUUGUUCUCGUUAGAAACGUAAAACUUGACAGGUGUCAUGAAGUGUUGCGUCUUAAACUGUGUAAUGCAACACACGAACGGAGUAAAGUUUUUGGUGUUUCCGAAAAGAAAUCCUCGAUGUAGUAAAAAAUUACAAGAACUUCAGAGUUUACGGAGGAAAGCGUGGUUAAAAAAUUUAUGGUUAAAGAAGUGUAACAUCAACAAACAUUCUAGAGUUUGUUCCUAUCAUUUUGUGAGAGAAGUCAUUUUUACAUCUCAUUUAGAUGACUCACACCCUGACUGGGCCCCUACACUUAAUAUAACAUUUGAUGAUAAAGGUAAAUCACAUCGGUUGAACAAACUGAAGCAGGAGCGAUUCUCCCGAAGAAUGGAAAGGGAACUAGCCAAUCAAAAAAAAAAAUGAAAUUGGUGUUGAAAUGCCUGUCAUAUAAGAUACUGAUAACAAUUUGUCGUACAAUAAUUGCAUUCUCGAAGAUUCCAGCAACUUAGUUGAUGGUGAUAGAGAUCAAGUUCAAGUAAUCAUUGCUGAAUUAAGACAACAACUGGAAAUUGUUACAGAAGAAAAAAACCAGUUGUUGGUUGAAAAUCAUAAACUAAUGGAGCAAACUGAUCAAUUAGCUGCUUCACUUAGUUGUCUCAAUGUUGAGCUCCACAACAUGAAGACAGAAAAGGCUGAACAACCAAAAUGUGCUGUUGAAACUCAUAGAAUGUCGUACAUUUCCUUUAAAUAUGACCCAUGUCGGAGUUUAAUAGCACACAAUUUACUAACCCAACCAUUACUUACCAUGAA
Molecule: long non-coding RNA, 822 nt
Organism: Daphnia magna
Lineage: Eukaryota; Metazoa; Arthropoda; Branchiopoda; Diplostraca; Daphniidae
Exons: 4
Source: RefSeq, a predicted model, not a curated record